GGUGCCUUCGGGAACUCUGAGACAGGUGCUGCAUGGCUGUCGUCAGCUCGUGUUGUGAAAUGUUGGGUUAAGUCCCGCAACGAGCGCAACCCUUAUCCUUUGUUGCCAGCGAUUCGGUCGGGAACUCAAAGGAGACUGCCAGUGAUAAACUGGAGGAAGGUGGGGAUGACGUCAAGUCAUCAUGGCCCUUACGAGUAGGGCUACACACGUGCUACAAUGGCAUAUACAA
This 229-nucleotide ribosomal RNA is filed under the name Citrobacter freundii. RNAcentral describes it as "partial 16S ribosomal RNA". It matches the Rfam family "Bacterial small subunit ribosomal RNA", at positions 1013 to 1242 of the family's 1533-position model. RNAcentral also lists the same sequence under 1 other name. The record is from RNAcentral. Lineage: Bacteria; Pseudomonadati; Pseudomonadota; Gammaproteobacteria; Enterobacterales; Enterobacteriaceae.